RNAcentral lists this small RNA (127 nucleotides) under Marmota monax (woodchuck). The record is from RNAcentral. Lineage: Eukaryota; Metazoa; Chordata; Mammalia; Rodentia; Sciuridae.
CCUGGGCACGGUGGUGCUUGCCUGUAAUCCCAGUGGCUUGGGAGGCUGAGGCAGGAGGAUAGCAAGUUCAAAGCCAGCCUCGGCAAUUUAUGCAGGCACCUAGCAGCUCAGUAAGAUCCUGUCUCUA